RNAcentral lists this long non-coding RNA (5449 nucleotides) under Daucus carota (carrot). Its description in RNAcentral is "long non-coding RNA (DCAR_LNC004366)". The record is from RNAcentral. Lineage: Eukaryota; Viridiplantae; Streptophyta; Magnoliopsida; Apiales; Apiaceae.
UCGAAGCAAUAGGCCUCAGCCAGUAAGAAACAUAAUCAGCGAGUAUCCAAUCCACUGUGCUGGAUUCCAAGAAACGAGUCAUAGGUUCUUGAAGAAGAUCGUACGCGAGUUUCAGGUACUUGACCUUGUGGAAUGGAACCUCAGUUGUGGACUCUGCAUUUUCGGGUAAGUUGGGUACUAAUGGCAGUGGAAUCUUGACAAGAUUUAUCAAAGGAGCCAGAUUCUGAGGGAUUUUUGGGAGGCUAUCGAUAAUUUUGGGAGUGGAAACAAAAGAGAUCUUGUGACCCUUUGCAGCCAUGAGCUUGGCUAGCUUCCAGUAGGGAGAUAUGUGACCAAAGGCUAACCAAGGGAACAUUACUAUGUGCAAUUUCUCAACAGAAGCCAUAUUGUAAGCUGAAAGCUGAAAGCUUUGUUUUCUGCUUGGCAAGAUUAAUGUAUUAAUAUGAACUAUAUAGAGAGGGCAGGCACAUGUCUGGUCAAAGGUAUCACCCUACGUGAUGUCAACCGUGACAUUCACAUUUCUGGUCCCAGAAAUUGCAUCACAGACGCGAUCUUUUAAAUUAUAGGGUCGGUUUGUUUCUAAGAAGUAGAAGCUGCUUCUGGAUUCUACUUUUAUUUUGACCCCUUUGCGUAAAAGAGUAAAAACACUUUUAAGAAGCCGAGAAUGCUAACUUCUCUGUCAGAGUUUUGAUUCUUUUCCCAACACUUUAUUAAGUUAUUUAUUUCUCACUUUUAAUCUACUUCUUUACUUUAAGGAAUAAAUCAUUUUUUUAAGUUUGCCCAAACGGCCUCAUGGAAUUAUGUUAAGUACCCCUUUCCUUCAUGUAACUCAUCAUCUUAGGUUGGUUGAAGAGAAAGAAUUUGUUUUUACAUUUUGGGUAAUGAGAAGUACAAAGUUUAUACAAGCUCCCCAGAAUUGUUUUGAGGACGAGCUAUGCUCAUUUCAUGUUUUUCAUGCCUUCACACUUCUGCUUCAGAAAAGAUACCUCUCCAUGGAAGGUGUGCAUUACUACUUAGCAGAAUAUACGUUCGAAUUUUCUCUGGAGACCAAGAAUUAUUCCAAUUUUUUUUUAAUAGUAAAUAUUUUUCUCACUUUCAUUAUUAUCUUAACUUUUAUUUGGACAAUUAUUUUUGGGUACUUGGUUUCCCUGACCAAACAAACAUAAGAAAAAAAAUCUGAUUUCGAGCGUGCUUUUAUUUUUAUUUUUGCUUGUAAAUAAACAUUUAAUUUGAAUAUUGUCUAAAUUAAAAGUGGAAAAGCACUAGUGAGUAUAACUAUCUCUCUUUCAUAAAUCAAAAUGCAUGUUAGAAAAAAUAGCAAAGUAUAGCUACUAAAAUGAUAGGAUAAGUAUAAGUUGAUCGUCUGCAGAAAAUAAUUUGUUGUGGACGGCGUACUAUAAAUUCACAGAUGUAAAAAUUAGGUGGCUGCAGUAUGCAAAACAAUAAUCAGUUUUGUGCUGGCACACAAUGCAGUUGUAUACUUGUAUGUCAUCACAAGAUAACUACUAUAAAAUCUAAGAUGAGGGGAGAUGCAUCAUGCAUGAGAUGAGCAAGUGAUCAAAUAUGAUAGAGUUAUUAUGCCGUAUAUAGUUGGACAUGUUAAGUUGUUUGUAGUUGGAAAAAAUAGAAAUGAUAAUGAUUUUUGGGUCUUAAAUUUGUGUAUAUAUAGCAUAUAAAAAACAGAGGGAUGAAGGAACUAUAAUACGAAAAGAUUUUUUCAUUUAAUUUUGAAUUCUACCAACACACAAUAAAUUUCAUGGUACGUUGGACGUUGUCAAUAUGGUUGUUUCCUGGUUGCUUAAUUUCAUAUCGGGUUGAUACUCCAUUUGCCAUUGUACUGGACCAAAACUUUCAGUUGGCCUACCAAGUCAAAAAAGUUUUCAUUUAAAUAAUAAAGCGUCUAAAAACUUACAAUCACAUAAUUAAUCUUAAGAAAUAUUUCAGCGCCGUUAGCCAUAUCUUUGACUUUAACGGAAAACAUUAAAUUGCAUAAAAUUUUCAGAUUUGCAUGUAUAAAUUAGGGUUCUUAAGGUUAAUUUGAGUCUGGAUGAUUGAGAAAAGGGGUCGGAGGUUGAAUAGGUUCUGGCGACUGUUUUUGCUUAUACAGUUCAGUAGGUUUUAGAAGAGCUGGGGAAUGGAUUUAUCCUUUAUGCAUGCCCAGUAGAAAAUCUUUUGAGCGUGCAGGUAUAGAGCAAGUGUUUCUUCUACCUUAAAACCAAUAAAUUUCAAAUUUGUACGGACAAGCAAAUGGCCUGUCUGAUUUUGUGUCUGGUUAGCAAAGAUAAGAAGAGUGAUAGUAUAGCAUGUAGUGUUGUAAAUGGUAACCAGAAGGCAUCAUCUAAGCUCCAUGUCUCUCAAGAUACAGAGAAAUGGCUCAUGAAAGUAAAGGAAGCUUAUGAUCUGUAAAAUAAUAUUCACAAUUGAAGAAAGCUUAUGAUCUGUAAAAUAAUAUUACAUAUGUACGUCUUGAGCUUUGCUUUCUUCUGUUUAACUUGUGCUUCAUGAUUGGUAUAAAAUAUGUAUGUGCUCACUGUGUUGAAUGGUUUUAGAUGCGGAUCUUAAUACUUUACUUAAAAUCACAUACAACAUCUUUAAGGAUUCGAAUAAUUUUAAAUUACAAACUGUAUGCACAAUUUUAAUGAUCCAGAUCAUGUAUAUAGUGUCUUGCUCAUAUUGUUACUGAUCCUGUGCCUAUCUUAUUAACAAUGCUCCUGUUAAAUAGAUUGGUUUGCCCAUUUUAUGGUGUAUACAAUUGUUUUCCAUGUUUCCAACGUAACGUCUAAAUGUUUACAUGCUUCCAGAUCAAGAUCAUAUGAAUCAACAACACAGUUUUGGGUUGGGGGGGGGGGGGGGGGGGGGGGGGGGGGGGGGAAGUGGAGUGGAGAGAUUGCUUGUAAAGUUGUCUUUACUCGGUAGGACAACUGAAAAUUUUGAUCGAAAAUAGUGAUGAAACAGAACAUUAACACGUUAAGUAUUUAACGGAGGCUAACAGAAUGACUUUUUUGCAAGUUGUAAAUAGUACAAUUAGUUGACUGAAAGCUUUUUUCACUCGGUAGGCUAACUGAAAAUUUUAAUGCAGUGCAGUGAUGAAAUAAAGCAUUAACCACUUUCAUAUCCACUGACAUUCGUCGAAGUGUUGCAUAUAUAUAUAUAUAUUUUUUCUUUAGAAGUGUUGCAUAUUUGUCUACUCUACUGCACAACAAAUUUGGGAUGAUUUGACUGUUGGUUUUUCUCAAACGAACUCUGCCUCGUGUUUUUUACUAAUUACGUAAGACAUUGCCUCUAUUUAUCAACACACUUUAUCCGUGAUUGCAUGCAUUCACCAAAUAUAGAACUCUUGUGACUGAACCGACAAUUUGGCCCCUCUUCAUAAUUGUGUGUGCAUCUACCAAACUGAGGUUGCAAAAAUAUGAAAACUGAUGGACGAUGAAAACUUGCUCAAUAUGCUGUAACGUAUCACGGCCAUCACCUCAAAGUUUUUGGCUAUUGUCCCUUCCUCCCCUCAUCUUGCUCUUGCUCUCUCCUUUUAUAAUAUGAUGGAGAUGAGUCACCAUCUGAAGUUUCGGGAAUGGAGGACAAGUGUCUCCUUUGUAGAGGUAGAGUAGGUGACGAGGAAAGGCUAGGAUUACAUGUGGCGGGUUUUCCAGAAAAUCUGGAAUGGCUAACAGGAAGCAGGUGAUGGAGCAGGCAGGUGAUGGAGAGGUGACGUGGCUGCCGUAGAGAAGGGGCUACGGUCUCGCCGUAGAGAGUUGCAGCCCGUAAGAGAUGUUGUGCCCCGUAGGAGAUGUUGUGCCAUCAUUCAGACUUGUUUAUAAGGUUCAUGGCUCUGCUAAUAUCAUCCACUGUAUCUCUUGUUCAUGUUCUUGAUAACUAGACAGAGAUCAUCCUCGUAACCCUACGGAUGAUCCCGCAAGGGUGGUGAAGCUCCAUAGAUAUAAGUUUCAGGGGUGGCUUACAGAGUUGCAGUCUUGCCGUAGGCAGUAGAAAAAACGAAUGCAUAGCCGUAGUUUAGUUUACAGGUUUUUUAGCUAUCAAUGAUAUUAAAAUGUGUGCCGAACCCUCGGUCUCAUACAACUCACACCGGGACCAAGGUCGUACAUACGAAAGAAAAAACAAGUGAACCGAAUUAAAAGACAAGCAAUGAAAUACAGUGAUCCCUGGGUUGAGCCACCAGGAAAACAUUACACAGAGUGACUUAAUUUUUCGAAAACUUGUGGUUCUGCAGAUAAUUCAGCAGGUUAUCGACGUAACCGUUUUGCUUAUCCAUGUCACACAGGAUAGCUUGCAUGUCCUUCACAUUGUCUCGAUAGAUCUUCCCUUCUUCAUCGAGCAUUACCAAGUUAACUGACUCCGCCACUGAUUCCCUAGUAAACCCACCGUCUGACUCAUCUCGCGGAAUUUGAAACCCCAGCUUCUUCUCCUCCAGCUGCUUAGCAAUAAUUCCUUGAUCAUACACACAUGGCAACAAAAUAAGCGCCUUUCCAAACUGCAUUGCCUCUACUACUGAGCUGUAACCUGAUGAAUUCAGCAAGGCACUAACCGAUUCGUGAUCUAAUAUCUUAGUCUGAGGCACCCAAGUGGUGUAAAUCAUCCCACGCCCUCGUGUUCGGUCUUGAAACCCUUCUGGCAACUCAACUGGCUCUGUAUCAGACAAGCCUCUUUGUUUUUUCAUAGCCCAAAAGAAUGGUAACCCGGUCAGCUCCAAACCAAGCGCUAACUCUGUGGUCUGAGCUUGAGUCAAUUUGGCCUCGGACCCAAAAGCUACAAAUAGUACGCUUCCCUUUGCUUGUUUGUCGAGCCAAUCUUUGAUCUCACUCCAAUCUUCAUUGUCAUCCUCUUUGCUCUCUUCAACAUCAGGCAACAAGCCCACUGGAAUCACCGGUUUCUCGUACAUGUCCUGUAGUAAUUUUAACCAAUCCCCUUCAAAUUCGACGCUGCUUCUUAUUGCCACCAUAUCAAAAUAUUCGAGACUCCUCCCAACACGAUAAGCCUCGCUCACAUUUCCCGUCUCCUCAUCAGUUUCAUAACCAGCAGCCAGGGCUAGACUCUGAUACAGAGACAUUGCGACAUUUGUGUCGAAGUGAACCCACUCAGGUUUAACCGUGAAAUCUUCUGGCUUCACGCGGUAACCAUCGCCCUUGAUCAAGUUAGAAGGGGGGCCUAAAAAUCCCAUGAAGGAAGCAGUGAAAAUAUUGUAGGGACACCAUCGAAUGCGGAGUCUCGAAGCAAUAGGCCUCAGCCAGUAAGAAACAUAAUCAGCGAGUAUCCAAUCCGCUGUGCUGGAUUCCAAGAAACGAGUAAUAGGUUCUUGAAGAAGAUCGUACAUGAGUUUCAGGUACUUGACCUUGUGGAAUGGAACCUCAGUUGUGGACUCUGCAUUUUCGGGUAAGUUGGGAACUAAUGGCAGUGGCAUCUUGACAAGAUUUAUGAAAGGAGCUAGAUUCUGAGG